UCCGUAGGGUGCGAGCGUUGUCCGGAAUUAUUGGGCGUAAAGGGCUCGUAGGCGGUUUGUCGCGUCGGGAGUGAAAUCCACUGGCUUAACUGGUGGCUUGCUUUCGAUACGGGCAGACUGGAGGUAUGCAGGGGAGAACGGAAUUCCUGGUGUAGCGGUGAAAUGCGCAGAUAUCAGGAGGAACACCGGUGGCGAAGGCGGUUCUCUGGGCAUGUCCUGACGCUGAGGAGCGAAAGUGUGGGGAGCGAACAGG
Molecule: ribosomal RNA, 253 nt
Filed under: uncultured bacterium
Lineage: Bacteria
Description: partial 16S ribosomal RNA
Rfam family: Bacterial small subunit ribosomal RNA
Source: RNAcentral